UCACUGUUACGGGAGGAGAGAAGAGAUCCUCUUCCCUCAACACAGAAUGGUUGCUUCUUAAUCAAUUAGUUUCAGCGUUUGUACCUCUCUCUCUGGAUCGAUGUCAUCCUACAGUCUCUUCUCGAGCAAGGCGUGGACUCUGUGGUCUGUGUGUUCUGGUAUCUGCUGAGUCACCAGAAAUCUGCCA
Molecule: long non-coding RNA, 187 nt
Organism: Neoarius graeffei (lesser salmon catfish)
Lineage: Eukaryota; Metazoa; Chordata; Actinopteri; Siluriformes; Ariidae
Exons: 3
Source: RefSeq, a predicted model, not a curated record